CGAGCGGUAGCACAGAGAGCUUGCUCUCGGGUGACGAGCGGCGGACGGGUGAGUAAUGUCUGGGAAACUGCCUGAUGGAGGGGGAUAACUACUGGAAACGGUAGCUAAUACCGCAUAACGUCGCAAGACCAAAGAGGGGGACCUUCGGGCCUCUUGCCAUCAGAUGUGCCCAGAUGGGAUUAGCUAGUAGGUGGGGUAACGGCUCACCUAGGCGACAAUCCCUAGCUGGUCUGAGAGGAUGACCAGCCACACUGGAACUGAGACACGGUCCAGACUCCUACGGGAGGCAGCAGUGGGGAAUAUUGCACAAUGGGCGCAAGCCUGAUGCAGCCAUGCCGCGUGUAUGAAAAAGGCCUUCGGGUUGUAAAGUACUUUCAGCGGGGAGGAAGGCGAUAAGGUUAAUAACCUUGUCGAUUGACGUUACCCGCAGAAAAAACACCGGCUAACUCCGUGCCAGCAGCCGCGGUAAUACGGAGGGUGCAAGCGUUAAUCGGAAUUACUGGGCGUAAAGCGCACGCAGGCGGUCUGUCAAGUCGGAUGUGAAAUCCCCGGGCUCAACCUGGGAACUGCAUUCUAAACUGGCAGGCUAGAGUCUUGUAGAGGGGGGUAGAAUUCCAGGUGUAGCGGUGAAAUGCGUAGAGAUCUGGAGGAAUACCGGUGGCGAAAGCGGCCCCCUGGA
This 679-nucleotide ribosomal RNA is filed under the name Enterobacter sp. CIR17C. RNAcentral's name for it is "bacterial SSU rRNA". It matches the Rfam family "Bacterial small subunit ribosomal RNA", at positions 63 to 733 of the family's 1533-position model. The record is from RNAcentral. Lineage: Bacteria; Pseudomonadati; Pseudomonadota; Gammaproteobacteria; Enterobacterales; Enterobacteriaceae.